AAAGAUUAAGCCAUGCAUGUGCCAGUAUAAGCAACUUUAUACCGCGAAACUGCGAAUGGCUCAUUAAAUCAGUUAUAGUUCAUUUGAUGGUGACUUUACUACUUGGACAACGGUGGUAAUUCUAGAGCUAAUACAUGCCAAAAACCCCGACGCAAGAAGGGGUGUGUUUAUUAGAUUUCAAACCGAUGUCCUCGCGGAGCCGUUGGUGAUUCAUGAUAACUCAACGCAGCGCAUGGCCUCGUGCCGGCGCGGGAUCAUUCAAAUAUCUGCCCUAUCAAGUUUCGAUGUGAGGGUAGUGUCCUCACAUGCUUUCGACGGGUAACGGGGAAUUAGGGUUCGACUCCGGAGAGGGAGCCUGAGAAACGGCUACCACAUCCAAGGAAGGCAGCAGGCGCGCAAAUUACCCAAUCCCGACACGGGGAGGUAGUGACAAGAAAUACCGAUACAGGGCCUUUUUCGGUCUUGUGAUUGGAAUGAGUACAAUUUAAAUCCAUAACGGAGGAUACAUUAAAGUUGUUGCAGUUAAAACGCCCGUAGUUGAAACUCGGGCCCGGCCCGCCGGUCCGCCUCACCGCGUGCUCUGGUUGGGCGGGGUCUUUCUCCCUGGGAAUCCGCAUUCCCUUCAUUGGGCGUGUCGGGGGACCAGGACUGUUACUGUGAAAAAAUCAGAGUGUUCAAAGCAGGCCUUUGCUCGAAUGCCUUAGCAUGGAAUAACGCAAUAUGACGAGAGGUCCUGUUUCGUUGGUUUCUGCGACCGUCGUAAUGAUUAAUAGGGAUGGUCGGGGGCAUCGGUAUUCGAUCGUCAGAGGUGAAAUUCUUGGAUUGAUCGAAGACCAACAGCUGCGAAAGCAUUUGCCAUGGAUGUUUUCAUUAAUCAAGGACGAAAGUUAGGUGAGCGAAAACGAUCAGAUACCGUUGUAGUCUUAACCGUAAACUAUGCCGACCAGGGAUCGGGCGGUGUCUCUUUGAUGACCCGCUCGGCACCUUGCGAGAAAUCACAAUCUUUGGGUUCU
This 1013-nucleotide ribosomal RNA is filed under the name Laboulbenia philonthi. RNAcentral's name for it is "SSU rRNA". It matches the Rfam family "Eukaryotic small subunit ribosomal RNA", at positions 39 to 1115 of the family's 1831-position model. The record is from RNAcentral. Lineage: Eukaryota; Fungi; Ascomycota; Laboulbeniomycetes; Laboulbeniales; Laboulbeniaceae.